Molecule: ribosomal RNA, 548 nt
Filed under: uncultured bacterium
Lineage: Bacteria
Description: bacterial SSU rRNA
Rfam family: Bacterial small subunit ribosomal RNA
Source: RNAcentral
AGUGAAUAGAUACCCAGGUAGUCCACGCCCUAAACGAUGUCAACUAGGUGUUGGGUGGGUAAAACCAUUUAGUACCGUAGCUAAACGCGUGAAAGUUGACCGCCUGGGGAGUACGGCCGCAAGGUUAAAACUCAAAGGAAUUGACGGGGACCCGCACAAGCGGUGGAUGAUGUGGAUUAAUUCGAUGCAACGCGAAAAACCUUACCUACCCUUGACAUGCCAGGAACUUGCCAGAGAUGGCUUGGUGCCCGAAAGGGAGCCUGGACACAGGUGCUGCAUGGCUGUCGUCAGCUCGUGUCGUGAGAUGUUGGGUUAAGUCCCGCAACGAGCGCAACCCUUGUCGUUAAUUGCCAUCAUUUGGUUGGGCACUUUAACGAGACUGCCGGUGACAAACCGGAGGAAGGUGGGGAUGACGUCAAGUCCUCAUGGCCCUUAUGGGUAGGGCUUCACACGUCAUACAAUGGUCGGUACAGAGGGUUGCCAAGCCGCGAGGCGGAGCCAAUCCCAGAAAGCCGAUCGUAGUCCGGAUUGCAGGCUGCAACUCGCCU